UGGGGAAUUUUGGGCAAUGGGGGAAACCCUGACCCAGCAACGCCGCGUGAAGGAUGAAGUAUUUCGGUAUGUAAACUUCGAAAGAAUAGGAAGAAUAAAUGACGGUACUAUUUAUAAGGUCCGGCUAACUACGUGCCAGCAGCCGCGGUAAUACGUAGGGACCAAGCGUUGUUCGGAUUUACUGGGCGUAAAGGGCGCGUAGGCGGCAUGACAAGUCACUUGUGAAAUCUCUGGGCUUAACCCAGAACGGCCAAGUGAUACUGUCGCGCUAGAGUGCAGAAGGGGCAAUCGGAAUUCUUGGUGUAGCGGUGAAAUGCGUAGAUAUCAAGAGGAACACCUGAGGUGAAGACGGGUUGCUGGGCUGACACUGACGCUGAGGCGCGAAAGCCAGGGGAGCAAACGGGAUUAGAUACCCCAGUAGUCCCUGAGCGGGCUGGCAAGGCGCAU
RNAcentral lists this ribosomal RNA (447 nucleotides) under uncultured bacterium. RNAcentral's name for it is "bacterial SSU rRNA". It matches the Rfam family "Bacterial small subunit ribosomal RNA", at positions 355 to 825 of the family's 1533-position model. The record is from RNAcentral.